AAGACUAUAGACCUGCGGAGUACCUGCGGAGGGAUCAUUAACGAAUAACUAUGGUGUUGGUUGUCGCUGGCUCCUUGGAGCAUUGUGCACGCCCGCCAUUUUUAUCUUUCCACCUGUGCACUUAGUGUAGAUCUGGAUACCACUCGCUUUCCCAAGCGGACUCAGAGAUUGCUGUGUCGCAAGACCCGGCUCUCUUUGAAUUUCCAGGUCUAUGUCUUUUUUACACACCCCAAUUGAAUG
This 240-nucleotide unclassified non-coding RNA is filed under the name soil metagenome. Its description in RNAcentral is "partial contains 5.8S ribosomal RNA, internal transcribed spacer 2, and large subunit ribosomal RNA". The record is from RNAcentral.